AUGGGUCGCUUGUACACGGGGAGACACAUCUCUUCACCCGCCUCAUAUUCACUUCUUCUCUUUGUCGUUGGUGCCACAACUUACCAAACGACACCUCCUGUCCAGAGGCAACGCAACUCGCUAUAUACGUGCAACUCAACUUCACCGUAUAUGAACUCGCCGGAACUCCUUGAUCACGAACGGAAACGCAAGGCACAAUUUCCUUUUUCCAUCCGCUCUCAUUCUCAAUUCUCCUCUGCCAGUGACGCAUCUCAACUGCAGCAGAAGAUUCACACGCCCGAACUCUUGGACGCACCUUACAAGAACUCAUGUGCACACCUUGACGACAGCUCACAACUUUGUCGCCUCUUCCUCGCUCCCCCCGAACGACGAUCUUGA
RNAcentral lists this ribosomal RNA (378 nucleotides) under Triticum aestivum (bread wheat). RNAcentral's name for it is "partial small subunit ribosomal RNA". The record is from RNAcentral. Lineage: Eukaryota; Viridiplantae; Streptophyta; Magnoliopsida; Poales; Poaceae.